This is a long non-coding RNA of Gossypium arboreum, 663 nucleotides long. RefSeq lists it as uncharacterized. Lineage: Eukaryota; Viridiplantae; Streptophyta; Magnoliopsida; Malvales; Malvaceae. The transcript has 2 exons. The record is from RefSeq and is a predicted model, not a curated record.
CCAACUGAGCUCUGUUGGCUUCUCUUUGUAAAACUCUUGUGAUGCGUUAUUAGUUUCUUCAUGCUUUUCUCUCCUUUGGAAAAAAAGUUCCAGUUAAAACACCAUGCAUAGACUAUGAUUAUCUUCAUCCACACACAUAUAUAUUUAUGUUUUACUCUUUUGUAUUCUAUUUUUCCGGUGAUGAAUGAUGGCGUUGUUGCAGUUUCUUACCCUUUUAGUUUCUAGUUAUCUACUAGCUAGGUGAACCUAUACAAGCUUUACAAUUUUAUCUUGCAAAAAAAAGUAAAUAUGGUGGGAAGAAUAAAUAAUUUACUAUAUAUAUGUUUGGUACUUUCAUUUCAUCAUUCUUCUAACGUUUGCAGGGUUUUGAUUGCAGCAGUUGUGUACCGACUCCUGAGGUCAAAGGAGGUAGAUGCAAUAUAUGUUAUGUUGGUAAAUAAGCUGAAAUAUGAAAUCUGGGCAUGAACGAUAGAAACAAGAUUUGGCGCCACAUCAAUUUUGAUUUUAGGAUUUAAGUAUAUUUUAUAGUUAUUUUUAUUUUAUUUUUUUAAAUUUUAUUUGUAAAGAUAUUUUAUUAAUAGUUUGAUUAGUUUAAUUAAUUAAUUAAAUGUUUAGUUUGAUGUUAGAAGAGUUAAUCAAGGAAGGAAAUCUUUUGCUUUUAAA